GACGUAGGGUGCGCGCGUUGAUCGGAAUGACUGGGCGUAAAGAGCGUGUAGGCGGCCUUGUAAGUGGGGUGUGAAAGCCCUCGGCUCAACCGAGGAAGUGGGCCCUGAACUGCUUGGCUUGAGUCCGGGAGAGGGCGGUGGAAUUCCUUGUGGAACGGUGAAAUGUGUAGAUAUCAGGAAGAACGUCGGUGGCGAAGGCGGCCGCCUGGCCCGGUACUGACGCUGAAACGCGAAAGCGUGGGUAGCACACAGG
RNAcentral lists this ribosomal RNA (253 nucleotides) under uncultured bacterium. RNAcentral's name for it is "partial 16S ribosomal RNA". It matches the Rfam family "Bacterial small subunit ribosomal RNA", at positions 524 to 776 of the family's 1533-position model. The record is from RNAcentral.